RNAcentral lists this ribosomal RNA (300 nucleotides) under Klebsiella pneumoniae. Its description in RNAcentral is "bacterial SSU rRNA". It matches the Rfam family "Bacterial small subunit ribosomal RNA", at positions 487 to 786 of the family's 1533-position model. The record is from RNAcentral. Lineage: Bacteria; Pseudomonadati; Pseudomonadota; Gammaproteobacteria; Enterobacterales; Enterobacteriaceae.
GAAGCACCGGCUAACUCCGUGCCAGCAGCCGCGGUAAUACGGAGGGUGCAAGCGUUAAUCGGAAUUACUGGGCGUAAAGCGCACGCAGGCGGUCUGUCAAGUCGGAUGUGAAAUCCCCGGGCUCAACCUGGGAACUGCAUUCGAAACUGGCAGGCUAGAGUCUUGUAGAGGGGGGUAGAAUUCCAGGUGUAGCGGUGAAAUGCGUAGAGAUCUGGAGGAAUACCGGUGGCGAAGGCGGCCCCCUGGACAAAGACUGACGCUCAGGUGCGAAAGCGUGGGGAGCAAACAGGAUUAGAUACC